Monopterus albus (swamp eel) is the source of this 1261-nucleotide long non-coding RNA. RefSeq lists it as uncharacterized. The record is from RefSeq and is a predicted model, not a curated record. The transcript is spliced from 2 exons. NCBI's taxonomy places the organism in Eukaryota, Metazoa, Chordata, Actinopteri, Synbranchiformes, Synbranchidae.
CCUUGAAGAAUUCAGCAGUGGUUACAUUUUACAGAUUUGUUUUCAGUUGUGUAUAAGACAGAUGAUUUUGACUGUAUGCAUCUGUGUUGAGAACAGGAACAGUUGUUAUCAAAUGACAUGGCUCAAACACUGAACCACAGUUUCCCUACACACUGCUCAGUCAAGACUUCAAUCUGACUUUCCUUUUUACCUCAUGGGAGCUUUGCCAUGUGUGAUGUGCAUUACUUAUGCAGGGCAAGAUACAGUAUGACUCAGGACACAGUCGUCUGCCUCCAGUCUCUUCUUCUUGGUGACUGUGUCCAGUGUGCUUACCGUGCCUUUUUCUUUCAGGUCUAAUGUCAACUACAUCCCUCCACCCCAAGAGCCCCAGGAUUUCAAACACACCCAGUCGUUCAUGCUCUGAGAAGCUGGCCUUCAUUCAAGACAUCACCCUUGUUAUAAGGUGCCAACACUGGACACCGAUUUCUCUCUCUCUCUGGACUCUGAAUGAGCUCUUGAUCUUCCAGAACUUGCUAAUUUCAAUCUUCUUCCUCUGCCACCCCUUGGGUUAUGGCAAGCGAAUUUGCAAAGCUUCUUACUCUUGUGCUUUGCUGUGUGGUUUUGCCUCUCUUGCUGACAUUUUCUGCUCUUACAAGAUUCAAGUUUUGUGACACACUGCUCCCCCCUGGUGGUCAGAUGUUGAAAUUCCAACUGAGCUCAUUUGAAUGAUCCAGGGACAAGUUGAGCUUUCUACACAUUUUUUUUUCUGCAGGCCAAUCAUUUUAACUACCUUUGAUUUCUUUUACCAAAGACUGACUUUAAUGGAUUUUUUGCUUUAAAAGUUAAACCCCCAUAAGGGAUUUCUCCUUAAACUCACAGGGAAAGCAUUUCAGUCAUUUUCAAUUUAUUCAAACAUAAAGACAGUUUACCUCAGCCAGUAAUUUGUCUCUGUCACUGGAGCUCUGGUUUUCCAAGGGCCACAGUGUCAGAACAUGAAAGCAGAAGCAGGAGGCCGAUCCAGCCGGUUAUACUGAGACCAACCCCAUUCCAUCCUAAUGUGCCUGCAUGGUCUUUUUAAAAUAUAUAUUCCUUGUGCCUUUUUAAUUUGUCUCUCAUUUAUCUAUGGAAUCACAGUUUUUUGUGAAGAACUUGCCUUACUUUUCUGUCUUUAAAUUUGUUGUGCCACUGUUUCUCAAAUUGAAGUGUCUGUUUUUAGAUUGAAUGGAUUGUUCAGAGUUUUAUUUGAAUGAUGUCUCAGUAAUAAAGUUUUUUUUAUUCCAGA